UGUUCGGUAGCUUAGUUGAUCAAAGCACCGGACUAGCGAUGCGGAAUCGUGGGUUCGAAUCCCACCAAAACAA
Molecule: non-coding RNA, 73 nt
Organism: Aedes albopictus (Asian tiger mosquito)
Lineage: Eukaryota; Metazoa; Arthropoda; Insecta; Diptera; Culicidae
Source: Rfam